AUCUAGCUGACGAGUCUCAAAUAGGACGAAAUGCGCAUCCUGGAU
Molecule: non-coding RNA, 45 nt
Filed under: Schistosoma mansoni
Lineage: Eukaryota; Metazoa; Platyhelminthes; Trematoda; Strigeidida; Schistosomatidae
Source: RNAcentral